AGAGUUUGAUUAUGGCUCAGGAUGAACGCUAGCUACAGGCUUAACACAUGCAAGUCGAGGGGAAACGACAUCGAAAGCUUGCUUUUGAUGGGCGUCGACCGGCGCACGGGUGAGUAACGCGUAUCCAACCUGCCCACCACUUGGGGAUAACCUUGCGAAAGUAAGACUAAUACCCAAUGACGUCUCUAGAAGACAUCUGAAAGGGAUUAAAGAUUUAUCGGUGAUGGAUGGGGAUGCGUCUGAUUAGCUUGUUGGCGGGGUAACGGCCACCAAGGCUACGAUCAGUAGGGGUUCUGGAGAGGAACGGUCCCCCACAUUGGAACUGGAAGACACGGUCCAAACUCCUACGGGAGCA
RNAcentral lists this ribosomal RNA (355 nucleotides) under uncultured bacterium. RNAcentral describes it as "bacterial SSU rRNA". It matches the Rfam family "Bacterial small subunit ribosomal RNA", at positions 8 to 349 of the family's 1533-position model. The record is from RNAcentral.